Molecule: non-coding RNA, 29 nt
Filed under: Mus musculus (house mouse)
Lineage: Eukaryota; Metazoa; Chordata; Mammalia; Rodentia; Muridae
Source: RNAcentral
UAGACAGACAUCCUCAAGUAGUUCAGGUC